Molecule: ribosomal RNA, 490 nt
Filed under: uncultured bacterium
Lineage: Bacteria
Description: partial 16S ribosomal RNA
Rfam family: Bacterial small subunit ribosomal RNA
Source: RNAcentral
GAUGAACGCUAGCGAUAGGCUUAACACAUGCAAGUCGAGGGGCAGCAUGGUCUUAGCUUGCUAAGACUGAUGGCGACCGGCGCACGGGUGCGUAACGCGUAUGCGACUUGCCUCACAGAGGGGGAUAACCCGUCGAAAGACGGACUAAUACCGCGUACACUCCAUCUUGGGCAUCCUAGGUAGAGGAAAUGAAAUUCGCUGUGAGAUAGGCAUGCGUCCCAUUAGCUAGUUGGUGAGGUAACGGCUCACCAAGGCGACGAUGGGUAGGGGAACUGAGAGGUUGAACCCCCACACUGGUACUGAGACACGGACCAGACUCCUACGGGAGGCAGCAGUGAGGAAUAUUGGUCAAUGGGCGAGAGCCUGAACCAGCCAAGUCGCGUGAAGGAUGACUGUCUUAUGGAUUGUAAACUUCUUUUAUACGGGAAUAACAAGAGUCACGUGUGACUCCCUGCAUGUACCGUAUGAAUAAGCAUCGGCUAACUCCGUG